CGCCGAGUUCAGGGAGACCGUGCGGUAG
RNAcentral lists this small RNA (28 nucleotides) under Bombyx mori (domestic silkworm). RNAcentral's name for it is "ovarian small RNA-14362". Lineage: Eukaryota; Metazoa; Arthropoda; Insecta; Lepidoptera; Bombycidae. The record is from RNAcentral.